RNAcentral lists this non-coding RNA (223 nucleotides) under Pseudoselenomonas ruminantium. Its description in RNAcentral is "Selenomonas ruminantium T-box sequence". It matches the Rfam family "T-box leader". From Rfam's summary of the family: Uncharged tRNA acts as the effector for transcription antitermination of genes in the T-box leader family. Lineage: Bacteria; Bacillati; Bacillota; Negativicutes; Selenomonadales; Selenomonadaceae. The record is from RNAcentral.
UCAAAGGCAAUGACAAAGACAUGAUGACAAGAAGGCGGUUCCAAGAGAGGGAUAUGUUUGGUGAGAGUAUCCUGAAUCAGCGUUUGUUAUUACCACUUUGGAGCUGCUGUCCGGAAAUUUUAGUAUGGACAGACGGUUACGCUAUCGUUACAGGCGCUGAGUGGUCAUAGGCGUACCUAUGGCAAUCAGGGUGGAACCACGAUGUUGCAGCUUCGUCCCUAUC